Rhagoletis zephyria (snowberry fruit fly) is the source of this 991-nucleotide long non-coding RNA. RefSeq lists it as uncharacterized. Lineage: Eukaryota; Metazoa; Arthropoda; Insecta; Diptera; Tephritidae. The record is from RefSeq and is a predicted model, not a curated record.
GUCAUUGAAAGAACUCUCCGCAGUAUCGAAUUGUUUAGUUCAUCGAUAUCGAUAGCACACCAGUACUUCCGGCAAUGGCCGGCUUUAUUAAUGAAUUAUAACAUCCAGUGCACGGACUACAACACUUUAUUGCGCCAAUGUUCUUAACGUUAAGAUGCACCCACUUUUCCCGGUAAUUUAAGCCUCUUGGCAGGCCAAACAGAUGCACGAACUUGUUCUAUAUUAAAAAAAUAAAAUUUUAACAAAUCAAGAGUUGAAUUAAAUCGCUUCAGAAAUAUAUAAAUUGAAAAAAAAAUCCCUAUGAAGAGGAAUGUGAAUAAACCGCAAAAUCUUACGAAAAAGUGGCAAAAAACGCUAAGAAAGUAAUUUUCAGAAAUUCGCUACCAACUACAACGAUGGCCAAGUGUGGAUCUGCAGUUGAGGAGGUCUACGUAAAAUCGCUUACGAUAAAUGAAGCUGAUGAAUUCAAUUGUACUGUAGCGACCACGUAUGGGCUCCUUGAUUAGCUGAUGUGCUGGAUUGCGGAAUUGUCGUAUCCAAUGCUGCUGGAAAAAUUUAUUCUCGGCUGUUAAAGCUGCCUAGCGUUUUUGUUCUGGCUUAUAUCCGGUAAUUCUUAUAAUUUUUGCUCACGGCGACGGAGGACCAUGUUCAUCGGGCAAGUAUGGGCAAGAGCGCAGUUUUCGGGUGUGCCGCAAAUUGGUAAUAACCCAGUUUCCCGUUUGCACCGAUGUAUUUUAAUUAGAAGAAAGUACACAAGGAAGUUUGUAUUAACAAAUAGAAUUAACAAUGGUUUUAUUGCUUAAUAUAUUAAUAUGUACAAUUGUAUUUUCAGGUUAUAUAUGUAUAUAGUUAGAUGAGGCGGUGAAAAUUGGUGGCACGAUGACGUCUUCUCAAAAGGAUGUUCGGAAAACAAGUAACAGUCCGUUCUUUUUUUUAGUGAGCCCAUCGAACCACGAUCCAGAAAAUAAAGGUCGCGCCAUUCGCGGACCGC